This 501-nucleotide ribosomal RNA is filed under the name uncultured bacterium. Its description in RNAcentral is "partial 16S ribosomal RNA". It matches the Rfam family "Bacterial small subunit ribosomal RNA", at positions 30 to 523 of the family's 1533-position model. The record is from RNAcentral.
AUUGAACGCUGGCGGCAUGCCUUACACAUGCAAGUCGAACGGCAGCACGGGUGCUUGCACCUGGUGGCGAGUGGCGAACGGGUGAGUAAUACAUCGGAACGUACCUUAUCGUGGGGGAUAACGCAGUGAAAGUUGCGCUAAUACCGCAUACGCCCUCAGGGGGAAAGCGGGGGACCGCAAGGCUCCGCGCGAUUAGAGCGGCCGAUGUCUGAUUAGCUUGUUGGUGAGGUAAAAGCUCACCAAGGCGAUGAUCAGUAGCCGGUCUGAGAGGACGAUCAGCCACACUGGGACUGAGACACGGCCCAGACUCCUACGGGAGGCAGCAGUGGGGAAUUUUGGACAAUGGGGGCAACCCUGAUCCAGCAAUGCCGCGUGAGUGAGGAAGGCCUUCGGGUUGUAAAGCUCUUUUGUCAGGGAAGAAACAGCAGCUCUAACACAGUCUGCGAAUGACGGUACCUGAAGAAUAAGCACCGGCUAACUACGUGCCAGCCGCCGCCGUAA